UUUCCGCAGGUGAACCUGCGGAAGGAUCAUUAUUGUAUAGCCGAGGUGCGAGGGCUGUCGCUGACCCGAAAGGUCGUGCACGCCCGAGUGCCCUCACACACAUCCAUCUCACCCCUAUGUGCACCACCGCGUGGGUCCCCCUUUGGCUUGUUCGGAGGGGGGCUUACGUUUUCACACAAACUUUGUAUGCAGUGUAGAAUGUAUUUUUUGUUUUUGCGAUCACGCAAUCAAUACAACUUUCAACAACGGAUCUCUUGGCUCUC
Molecule: unclassified non-coding RNA, 263 nt
Filed under: plant metagenome
Description: partial contains small subunit ribosomal RNA, internal transcribed spacer 1, and 5.8S ribosomal RNA
Source: RNAcentral